Molecule: ribosomal RNA, 279 nt
Filed under: uncultured bacterium
Lineage: Bacteria
Description: partial 16S ribosomal RNA
Rfam family: Bacterial small subunit ribosomal RNA
Source: RNAcentral
UGCCAGCCGCCGCGGUAAUACGGAGGGGGUUAGCGUUGUUCGGAGUUACUGGGCGUAAAGCGCACGUAGGCGGAUUAGUAAGUUAGGGGUGAAAUCCCGGGGCUCAACCUGGGCAUUGCAACUAAGACUGUAUAACUCGAGUAUGGGAGAGGGCAGUGGAGUUUCCGGUGUAGCGGUGAAAUGCGUAGAGAUCGGAAGGAACACCAGUGGCGAAGGCGGCUGCCUGGCCCAAUACUGACACUGAGGCACGAAAGCGUGGGUAGCAAACAGGAUUAGAUA